Molecule: ribosomal RNA, 460 nt
Filed under: uncultured bacterium
Lineage: Bacteria
Description: partial 16S ribosomal RNA
Rfam family: Bacterial small subunit ribosomal RNA
Source: RNAcentral
CCUACGGGAGGCAGCAGUGAAGAAUCUUGGUCAAUGGACGAGAGUCUGAACCAGCCAAGUAGCGUGAAGGAUGACUGCCCUAUGGGUUGUAAACUUCUUUUAUAAAGGAAUAAAACGAGGCACGUGUGCCUUUUUGCAUGUACUUUAUGAAAAAGGAUCGGCUAACUCCGUGACAGCAGCCGCGGUAAUACGGAGGAUCCGAGCGUUAUCCGGAUUUAUUGGGUUGAAAGGGAGCGUAGAUGGGUUGUUAAGUCAGUUGUGAAAGUUUGCGGCUCAACCGUAAAAGUGCAAUUGAUACUGGCAGUCUUGAGUACAGUUGAGGUAGGCGGAAUUCGUGGUGUAGCGGUGAAAUGCUUAGAUAUCACGAAGAACCCCGAUUGCGAAGGCAGCUUACUAAACUGUGACUGACAUUGAUGCUCGAAAGUGUGGGUAUCAAACAGGAUUAGAUACCCCGGUAGUC